CUGAAUUACUUCACAGAUAAUCAUGGCGAAUGAAGGCUGGAUUGAAGUGGAGUGCUCUUUGUUCCAAUAUGAAAACUCUUUCAGAGCAGCUGUUCCGUCCUCAUACAGCCCUCAGCACUGUCAGUGUGUGAGUGAUUUUUGCCAGAGCAUUGAGACCAACAUGGAUCUCAUGAGAACCUUCAAGGUACUUUCUUCAUCUGGAGAAACACAGGACAAGACAAACCACCAUUUACCAAGAGCCCAGUCCCCAGCUGAAUGCUCACUACUAAGUAUUUAGGCCUAAUUUCUAGAAUUUCUGAUUUCAUCUGGCAUCAUAUAAACUCACUUUCCUUGUUUUUGAAAGUACUUUGACUCCCCUCAACCUCAUCAUCUGCAUUUCACUAUUACUACAGCAUGGGGAAAUCAAGAUUAC
RNAcentral lists this long non-coding RNA (412 nucleotides) under Gallus gallus (chicken). RNAcentral describes it as "lncRNA (ENSGALG00010011632.1)". Lineage: Eukaryota; Metazoa; Chordata; Aves; Galliformes; Phasianidae. The record is from RNAcentral.